CGCGUAGGUGGUUUGAUAAGUUGGAUGUGAAAGCCCCGGGCUCAACCUGGGAAUUGCAUCCAAAACUGUCUGACUAGAGUAUGGCAGAGGGUGGUGGAAUUUCCUGUGUAGCGGUGAGAUGCGUAGAUAUAGGAAGGAACACCAGUGGCGAAGGCGACCACCUGGGCUAAUACUGACACUGAGGUGCGAAAGCGUGGGGAGCAAACA
Molecule: ribosomal RNA, 207 nt
Filed under: uncultured bacterium
Lineage: Bacteria
Description: partial 16S ribosomal RNA
Rfam family: Bacterial small subunit ribosomal RNA
Source: RNAcentral